UCUGUGUAAACUCGACGGGAGUGCCAAUUGUUGAAAAGGAAGUACUGCGAAGUGGGAACUUUGUCAGAACAACAUUAAAAUUGUCCGCGGUUAAUGUAAACUGGUGAAGGAAACGAAGAUGUUUAGAUAUUUCUUGUGUCACUGAAUAUCGUUCGUUUUGCGGUACUAUAGGGAAAUGUAUAUAUAUGCAUAACAACUGAAGAAUUGUUAAAGAACCUCAAAGAAUUGAAUGAAGUAGGAUUUGUUUUUUUGUGUUUAUUUAUUGUAAUGCCGAGAUUAAACAAGCGGUUAUCACAUUUAUUAACUGAUAGCAUAUUAAAAACAUUAAAUCAAAGGAAAAUAUGUACUGUACUUGAAUUCCUCGAGCAAGAACCGGAAUAUUUGGCUGCUCUUCUGAAAAUAAGUUUUAAGGAUGUGAUACAGAUUCGCAGCUCUCUUAUAACUGAUUACUCAGCAUUUCCUCAUAAAGGAAUCAGCAUGUACAAUGAUUUAGUAGCAAAUUCAGCACUUAUACAGACAGGCAUUAAAAGCAUUGACACAAUAUUGGAAGGUGGCUUGCUUACAGGAAACAUAUAUGAGUUGUGUGGUCUUUCUGGUACAGGGAAAACCCAAAUUUGUCUUGCAACAACGGCACAUGUAACAUCAAAUUUGAAACAAAGUAUAUAUUACAUUGAUUCAAAUUUGUCUUUCUCAGGGGAAAGAAUGCAGUCAAUAUUGGAUGCCAGAUGCCUUGAUGAUGAGGAAAUUGGUAAUAUAAUGAAUAAAGUAAAAGUGGUAAAUGUUAGAAAUAUUUAUCAGCUUUUUUCGUUCUUACACAAAUGGAAAGAAGACCUCCAGGAAAUGAGGGGAGACUACAGCAUUCGUCUUGUUAUUAUUGAUUCAUUACCACCACUGUUUUUUAAUUUUUAUGGAGAAGGCCAUAAUGAUGUCUCACCACAAAAUGUCUGCAAUUGGUAGCUACAUUUUGGACACCCUGAGAAGAAAAUAACAUUUAAUUCCAAUGACACAUAUCUAGCAACUGGAAAUUCGUUAGUUGAUUUGCACCAUACCUUUCGACUUGGAGUAACAACAAUCAGAGAAAUUGUAAGAAGAGUAUGUUCAUCAAUCUGGAUUACCGUGAAAGAUGAAUGUUUGUCAGAACCUACCAAAAACGAUUGGUUGCAAAUAGCAAAAGAUUUUGAAACUAAGGCCAAUUUCCCAAACUGUAUCGGUGCUGUUGAUGGAAAGCCUGUGAGAAUGGUGAAACCAGCAAACAGUACAUCAAUGUUUUUUUAACUAUAAGAAAUAUUUCUCUAUUGUAUUAAUGGCUGUUAGUGAUGCAAACUACAAAUUUGUCGCUAUGGAUGUUGGAUCGUAUGGUAAAUGUGCUGACUCAACAAUAUUUCAACAGUCAGUGUUCUAUAAGAGAAUACUGUCUAAUAACUUGGACAUUCUCAGUCGCACAGCAUUCUGUGUCCAUAGGCUAGUCUCCGAGUUGAUAUGAAAAAAGUAUUUAAUUAUCGUCAUUGUCAAGCAAGACGUUUAGAGUGCACUUUCGGGAUAAUGGCAAAUAAGUGGAGGAUCUUUCACAGGCCUCUGAAUGUAGACGUUGAUUUCGCUAUAGACAUUGUAAAGGCAUGUUGUAUUCUACACAACUUUGUACGAAACAGAGAUGGUGUACAAUUGAUACAUUGUAUGGAUAUCCUCGAAUUCAUGAGGAUACUCCACAACCAAUAUGCAGGCACAGAUCCAAUUCACACUACAGAAAUGUUUUUGCCGAUUACUUUGCACAUGAAGGCGCUCUGC
RNA transcript from Schistocerca americana (American grasshopper), 1785 nucleotides. It is a transcript of the gene named DNA repair protein RAD51 homolog 4-like, with no coding region annotated. The record is from RefSeq and is a predicted model, not a curated record. The transcript is spliced from 6 exons. NCBI's taxonomy places the organism in Eukaryota, Metazoa, Arthropoda, Insecta, Orthoptera, Acrididae.